This 107-nucleotide small RNA is filed under the name Marmota monax (woodchuck). The record is from RNAcentral. Lineage: Eukaryota; Metazoa; Chordata; Mammalia; Rodentia; Sciuridae.
GCUGGGCAUGGUGGCACACACCUGUAAUAUCAGCUACUUGGGUGGCUGAGGCAGGAGGAUCACAAGUUCAAGGUCAACCUUAGCAAUUUAGUGAUACCCUGUCUCAA